GCCGGGCGCAGUGGCACAUGCCUGUCAUCCCAGCAGCUCGGGAGGCUGAGGCAGGAGGAUUGUGAGUUCAAAGCCAGCCUCAGCAAAAAGUGAGGCACUGAGCAACCCAGUGAGACCCUGUCUCUA
Molecule: small RNA, 126 nt
Filed under: Marmota monax (woodchuck)
Lineage: Eukaryota; Metazoa; Chordata; Mammalia; Rodentia; Sciuridae
Source: RNAcentral